AAAAUUAGAGUGUUCAAAGCAGGCAGAUCCAAUUUUCUGCCACCGAAUACAUUAGCAUGGGAUAAUGGAAUAGGACCCUGUCCUCCUAUUUUCAGUUGGUUUUGGCAGCGCGAGGACUAGGGUAAUGAUUAAUAGGGAUAGUUGGGGGCAUUAAUAUUUAAUUGUCAGAGGUGAAAUUCUUGGAUUUAUGAAAGAUUAACUUCUGCGAAAGCAUCUGCCAAGGAUGUUUUCAUUAAUCAAGAACGAAAGUUAGGGGAUCGAAGACGAUCAGAUACCGUCGUAGUCUUAACCAUAAACGAUGCCGACCAGCGAUUAGGAGACGUUGAAUACAAAACACCACCAUCGGUUGCGCGGUCAUCCUUGGCGUCUCGGUUUCGGCCGGGGCGCGGGGAUGGCUUAGCCCGGUGGCACCGGUGAA
RNAcentral lists this ribosomal RNA (418 nucleotides) under Acanthamoeba sp. Its description in RNAcentral is "SSU rRNA". It matches the Rfam family "Eukaryotic small subunit ribosomal RNA", at positions 762 to 1116 of the family's 1831-position model. The record is from RNAcentral. Lineage: Eukaryota; Discosea; Longamoebia; Acanthamoebidae.